RNAcentral lists this ribosomal RNA (450 nucleotides) under uncultured bacterium. RNAcentral describes it as "bacterial SSU rRNA". It matches the Rfam family "Bacterial small subunit ribosomal RNA", at positions 328 to 792 of the family's 1533-position model. The record is from RNAcentral.
UUUCCAGACUCCUACGGGAGGCAGCAGUGGGGAAUAUUGGGCAAUGGGCGCAAGCCUGACCCAGCAACGCCGCGUGAAGGAAGAAGGCUUUCGGGUUGUAAACUUCUUUUCUCAGGGACGAAGCAAGUGACGGUACCUGAGGAAUAAGCCACGGCUAACUACGUGCCAGCAGCCGCGGUAAUACGUAGGUGGCAAGCGUUAUCCGGAUUUACUGGGUGUAAAGGGCGAGUAGGCGGGAUUGCAAGUCAGAUGUGAAAACUAUGGGCUCAACCGAUAGAGUGCAUUUGAAACUGCAGUUCUUGAGUGGUGGAGAGGCAGGCGGAAUUCCCGGUGUAGCGGUGGAAUGCGUAGAUAUCGGGAGGAACACCAGUGGCGAAGGCGGCCUGCUGGACAUUAACUGACGCUGAGGCGCGAAAGCGUGGGGAGCAAACAGGAUUAGAUACCCCAGUA